GCGGAAGUGGCGGAAUUGGUAGACGCACCAGAUUUAGGUUCUGGCGCCGCAAGGUGUGAGAGUUCAAGUCACUCAUUCCGCACCA
This 85-nucleotide transfer RNA is filed under the name Vibrio aquimaris. Its description in RNAcentral is "Vibrio sp. THAF100 tRNA-Leu". It matches the Rfam family "tRNA". From Rfam's summary of the family: Transfer RNA (tRNA) molecules are approximately 80 nucleotides in length. Their secondary structure includes four short double-helical elements and three loops (D, anti-codon, and T loops). The record is from RNAcentral. Lineage: Bacteria; Pseudomonadati; Pseudomonadota; Gammaproteobacteria; Vibrionales; Vibrionaceae.